Molecule: ribosomal RNA, 467 nt
Filed under: uncultured bacterium
Lineage: Bacteria
Description: partial 16S ribosomal RNA
Rfam family: Bacterial small subunit ribosomal RNA
Source: RNAcentral
ACGAACGCUGGCGGCGUGCUUAACACCUGCCAGUCGAACGGAAAGGCCCUGCUUUUGUGGGGUGCUCGAGUGGCGAACGGGUGAGUAACAUGUGAGUAACCUGCCCUUGACUUUGGGAUAACUUCAGGAAACUGGGGCUAAUACCGGAUAGGAGCUCCUGCUGCAUGGUGGGGGUUGGAAAGUUUCGGCGGUUGGGGAUGGACUCGCGGCUUAUCAGCUUGUUGGUGGGGUAGUGGCUUACCAAGGCUUUGACGGGUAGCCGGCCUGAGAGGGUGACCGGCCACAUUGGGACUGAGAUACGGCCCAGACUCCUACGGGAGGCAGCAGUGGGGAAUAUUGCACAAUGGGCGGAAGCCUGAUGCAGCAACGCCGCGUGCGGGAUGACGGCCUUCGGGUUGUAAACCGCUUUCGCCUGUGACGAAGCGUGAGUGACGGUAAUGGGUAAAGAAGCACCGGCUAACUACGUG